CCUGGCAUCGGCCCCGCCCCCCCCGAGCGCAGGAGGAAGAGGAAGGUGACGCCCAUUGACGUGUCGGAGCUCGAGGCCUGGGCCGCCUCCAUGAACGCGCUGUUCGAGGAGGCCGAGCGCUUCCACCUGGUCGUGGAGUGACCAGAGAGACCCCCAGAGACCCCCGGGAGAGCCCCCCAAGACACCUGGGGACCCUCAGAGACCCUCAGGAAACCCCAAGGGACACCUGGAGACCCCCAAGAGCUCAGGAGAAACCUGGGGACCCUCAUGGGACCCCCGGACCCCCCAUAAUGUGUGGGACACCCCCCCCCCCGAUUUUUGGGACCCCACCCCCGUUUUUUCCUCAAUAAACUCGGUUUCUGCCGCGGCCUCGCUGUGCAAUGACGCAGUUUGUGGCGUCACACACCCGCAGAAUUGGGUCACUGUCUCUUUAAGAGCGGGGGCGUGGCCUUGCAGCCAAUCACCGUGCGGCGCGAUGACAUCACCCGCCGAAGGGGCGUGGUUCCUGCCAAGCCACGCCCCCGGGGCGCCCAGGUCCCCCCAAAAAACUUCCCCGGCUCCCCCCGGCCAUGGAGCCCCCCCGAGCGGCGCCCCCUCCCCCCGAGAUGGAAUUUGGGGGGCCCUGGGGCGCGGGGGCUCUGUCGCUGCUCCUCCCUUUGGGGCUC
This is a long non-coding RNA of Camarhynchus parvulus, 665 nucleotides long. RefSeq lists it as uncharacterized. The transcript has 3 exons. Lineage: Eukaryota; Metazoa; Chordata; Aves; Passeriformes; Thraupidae. The record is from RefSeq and is a predicted model, not a curated record.